GCGAAGAACCUUACCUACUCUUGACAUCCAGAGAACUUUCCAGAGAUGGAUUGGUGCCUUCGGGAACUCUGAGACAGGUGCUGCAUGGCUGUCGUCAGCUCGUGUUGUGAAAUGUUGGGUUAAGUCCCGCAACGAGCGCAACCCUUAUCCUUGUUUGCCAGCGAGUAAUGUCGGGAACUCCAGGGAGACUGCCGGUGAUAAACCGGAGGAAGGUGGGGACGACGUCAAGUCAUCAUGGCCCUUACGAGUAGGGCUACACACGUGCUACAAUGGCGCAUACAGAGGGCAGCCAACUUGCGAAAGUGAGCGAAUCCCAAAAAGUGSGKSGUAGUCCGGAUUGGAGUCUGCAACUCGACUCCAUGAAGUCGGAAUCGC
This 375-nucleotide ribosomal RNA is filed under the name Vibrio sp. Its description in RNAcentral is "bacterial SSU rRNA". It matches the Rfam family "Bacterial small subunit ribosomal RNA", at positions 961 to 1335 of the family's 1533-position model. Lineage: Bacteria; Pseudomonadati; Pseudomonadota; Gammaproteobacteria; Vibrionales; Vibrionaceae. The record is from RNAcentral.